RNAcentral lists this ribosomal RNA (279 nucleotides) under uncultured bacterium. RNAcentral's name for it is "partial 16S ribosomal RNA". It matches the Rfam family "Bacterial small subunit ribosomal RNA", at positions 506 to 784 of the family's 1533-position model. The record is from RNAcentral.
UGCCAGCCGCCGCGGUAAUACGGAGGGUGCAAGCGUUAUCCGGAUUUAUUGGGUUUAAAGGGUGCGCAGGCGGAACUUUAAGUCAGUGGUGAAAUCUUGCCGCUUAACGGUAAAAUUGCCAUUGAUACUGAAGUUCUUGAAUGUAGUUGAGGUAGGCGGAAUGUGUUGUGUAGCGGUGAAAUGCGUUGAUAUUAGGAGGAACGCCGGUGGCGAAAGCGACUCUCUGGUCUGAUACUGACGCUGAGGUGCGAAAGCUAGGGGAGCAAACGGGAUUAGAUA